This 693-nucleotide unclassified non-coding RNA is filed under the name Hevea brasiliensis (rubber tree). The record is from RNAcentral. Lineage: Eukaryota; Viridiplantae; Streptophyta; Magnoliopsida; Malpighiales; Euphorbiaceae.
UGUCAAUUACGCAAAUUCUCAAGUAAUCUCUCUCUUCUUUCAUGCGCACUGAGUACUCAGCAUGCUAAUCAUUCUUGGAUUAUGUCUAUUUAUGUGGAUAUUUUCAUAAUUAUAUGCAUUUUUUUUUCUUUUUUAUGGUUGAGGAAGCAGUAGGCCUUUAACUCGAUUACUGAAUAAUGAUUCCAGUGAAAAUUUUGGCAUUGCACCUGGUAAUUGAAAUGGGUUUAUUAUCAUUCUAAAUUAGUCGUUUUGAGUACCUGAAAGUGUAUCACUGUUUAAUUUUGUUUGAAAAAGAAUUUAGUUCUGUUAUUAAAUUUAGGGGGUGGUAGACUUUUCAUUUUGUCAAACUUUUUUUGUGCCUGAUGUCUGUUUACUCUACGUUGCAUCAGUUUGUGAUGAAUGUUUACUUGAACUUGGUUACUGGAUUAGGGCGACCAUGAUAGGAAACACAUACAGCCUGCAUUUAUUAUGAAAAGCAUUAGGUCUUUACUAAUUACUCUUGUUCAUUAAGUUGUUUUGUCUUGCCUAUAAGGCAUAUUCUUUAUCAUUGGAAGUGUUGUCAUUGUUUUGUCCUUUACUUUCACUUUCAUCAACAUUUGAUCACUGAUGCUAAGCAUCACUCCCAGCAUUACCUUUUUCUAUACAUACUCUUAAUAAUAUACAUAUAUUUUUUUAUUAAAAUUAUAAUAUUUA